This 372-nucleotide ribosomal RNA is filed under the name Triticum aestivum (bread wheat). Its description in RNAcentral is "partial small subunit ribosomal RNA". The record is from RNAcentral. Lineage: Eukaryota; Viridiplantae; Streptophyta; Magnoliopsida; Poales; Poaceae.
AUGGCGUGCGGAGGAGAAGCAGGGCCAGGGGUGCGUCGAGAGGGUGCAGUAGCUGGUGCUGCUACCGGCGGCGAGGUACUUGGUGGCGACAAGGAGAAACGGGAGGAGAAGCGCACGGGAGAAGAGCUGCUCCGGCGGGACUGCUCCGGUGACCAGUCCGCAAGGUCGUGUCGCUGCGAAGAGCGUAGCUGGCGGGAUCGAGGUCGAGCGAUGGUGAGAGGCGAAGUGGAUGACUUCGGCCUGGCACGAUGGAGGCAAAGCAGAGGAGGGGGCGGAGCAGAGGGGAUGAGAAGCAUGGCGGCUCCAUGGCCGGCUUCAGCCCACGGCGCGAGGGUCUGGUUUGAGCGGUGCAAGGAGGCACGGGAUCCGUGA